This 239-nucleotide ribosomal RNA is filed under the name uncultured bacterium. RNAcentral's name for it is "partial 16S ribosomal RNA". It matches the Rfam family "Bacterial small subunit ribosomal RNA", at positions 15 to 233 of the family's 1533-position model. The record is from RNAcentral.
GAUCAUGGCUCGGGAUGAACGCUGGCGGCGUGCUUAACACAUGCAAGUCGAGCGAAGCACUUUGCUUUGAUUUCUUCGGGAUGAAGAGCUUAGUGACUGAGCGGGCGGACGGGUGAGUAACGCGUGGGUAACCUGCCUCAUACAGGGGGAUAACAGUUAGAAAUGACUGCUAAUACCGCAUAAGGCCACAGCACCGCAUGGUGCAGGGGUAAAAACUCCGGUGGUAUGAGAUGGACCCG